RNAcentral lists this ribosomal RNA (468 nucleotides) under uncultured bacterium. RNAcentral's name for it is "partial 16S ribosomal RNA". It matches the Rfam family "Bacterial small subunit ribosomal RNA", at positions 28 to 507 of the family's 1533-position model. The record is from RNAcentral.
GACGAACGCUGGCGGCGUGCUUAACACAUGCAAGUCGAACGGAAAGGCCCUGCUUUUGUGGGGUGCUCGAGUGGCGAACGGGUGAGUAACACGUGAGUAACCUGCCCUUGACUUUGGGAUAACUUCAGGAAACUGGGGCUAAUACCGGAUAGGAGCUCCUGCUGCAUGGUGGGGGUUGGAAAGUUUCGGCGGUUGGGGAUGGACUCGCGGCUUAUCAGCUUGUUGGUGGGGUAGUGGCUUACCAAGGCUUUGACGGGUAGCCGGCCUGAGAGGGUGACCGGCCACAUGGGGACUGAGAUACGGCCCAGACUCCUACGGGAGGCAGCAGUGGGGAAUAUUGCACAAUGGGCGGAAGCCUGAUGCAGCAACGCCGCGUGCGGGAUGACGGCCUUCGGGUUGUAGACCGCUUUCGCCUGUGACGAAGCGUGAGUGACGGUAAUGGGUAAAGAAGCACCGGCUAACUACGUG